GGGUAUACAGCUCAGUGGUAGAGCGCGUGCCUAGCGUGCCCGAGGUCCUGGGUUCAACCCCCAGUACCUCCA
RNAcentral lists this transfer RNA (72 nucleotides) under Camelus bactrianus (Bactrian camel). It matches the Rfam family "tRNA". From Rfam's summary of the family: Transfer RNA (tRNA) molecules are approximately 80 nucleotides in length. Their secondary structure includes four short double-helical elements and three loops (D, anti-codon, and T loops). The record is from Rfam by way of RNAcentral. Lineage: Eukaryota; Metazoa; Chordata; Mammalia; Artiodactyla; Camelidae. RNAcentral also lists the same sequence under 2 other names.